CGAAAGCCUGACGGAGCAACGCCGCGUGAGGGAUGAAGGCCUCUGGGCUGUAAACCUCUUUUCUCAAGGAAGAAGACCUGACGGUACUUGAGGAAUAAGCCACGGCUAAUUCCGUGCCAGCAGCCGCGGUAAUACGGGAGUGGCAAGCGUUAUCCGGAAUUAUUGGGCGUAAAGCGUCCGCAGGCGGCCUGUUAAGUCUGUCGUUAAAGCGUGGAGCUUAACUCCAUUUAAGCGAUGGAAACUAACAGGCUUGAGUGUGGUAGGGGCAGAGGGAAUUCCCGGUGUAGCGGUGAAAUGCGUAGAUAUCGGGAAGAACACCAGUGGCGAAGGCGCUCUGCUGGGCCAUAACUGACGCUCAUGGACGAAAGCCAGGGGAGCG
This 379-nucleotide ribosomal RNA is filed under the name uncultured cyanobacterium. Its description in RNAcentral is "bacterial SSU rRNA". It matches the Rfam family "Bacterial small subunit ribosomal RNA", at positions 376 to 770 of the family's 1533-position model. Lineage: Bacteria; Bacillati; Cyanobacteriota. The record is from RNAcentral.